UAUUAAUGGGAGAUACAAACUGGUACAGGUC
Molecule: non-coding RNA, 31 nt
Filed under: Rattus norvegicus (Norway rat)
Lineage: Eukaryota; Metazoa; Chordata; Mammalia; Rodentia; Muridae
Source: RNAcentral